ACAGUUACUGGUACUGGACCCUCCCUACCUCACUCUGCUGGAAUCAUUCUUACGACCCUGGAUCUACUGACUGCCAGAACCAUCAGCAUGGCAGGAUCAUCCAGGACUCCAUCAGAUCAAGGGUCCAAAGGAACCUCCUAGAAAAACAGCACUUGUCUUUCCCAGCUGGCCAACACUCAACACCAGGUGGAGGAUCUCAGAGAGACGUUUCUAACAUCUGAGGCUACUGCCUAUGCCCUGGCCAAACAGCUACAAAAAUACCAGAAUCCAAAAUCCUCCUUCAAGAUCAGGACCUAGAGUUGAGUCAGCUGAGGCAGAACUCACAAGAGGGGAGACACGCAGCCCACCACCUCCAACAGCAUCUCACCAACCUCCUCACCCAUCAUGGCUGUAACAACUGCCACGGCCACAACUUUUGAGACCAACUGGCCGAGAUGUGCAGGAUGUCAGAGUGCCUUGUACCAGCAGCUGAGCCCAGGAGGAGCAGGCCAGCUGUGGGAGGAGCCAGCACCCAUCCAGUGUGCAUACACAACAGGAGGGCAUGAAGAUGGUUGUUGGAGUGAAAACAUCUCUGGGCUAAACACCAAGCUCCCAGCUUCCAGCACAAGUGCCAAUUUCAAAUCCAUGCAUGUGUGAGCACAUCAUCAUUAUGAGUGAGAGAUUCCUAAGAUUCCUGGACUAAAACAUCAGAAACAUUGUGGAUUUGUCACGUCUACAACCCCUAGAUUGUUACAUCAUUGUGACCA
Ochotona curzoniae (black-lipped pika) is the source of this 746-nucleotide long non-coding RNA. RefSeq lists it as uncharacterized. The transcript has 4 exons. The record is from RefSeq and is a predicted model, not a curated record. NCBI's taxonomy places the organism in Eukaryota, Metazoa, Chordata, Mammalia, Lagomorpha, Ochotonidae.